AUCAAUGGUGGCUCAGGCAGGGCAGCCUUCGGGCUGGCCGGUGUCCUUGUAGGCCGGUACUGCGAACCUUGUCUGAGCUACCACCCAA
RNAcentral lists this non-coding RNA (88 nucleotides) under Rahnella sp. JUb53. The record is from RNAcentral. Lineage: Bacteria; Pseudomonadati; Pseudomonadota; Gammaproteobacteria; Enterobacterales; Yersiniaceae.